AACGCGAAGAACCUUACCCAGGUUUGAAAUACAGGAGACGAUAUCAGAAAUGAUAUUUUCCGCAAGGACUGCUGUACAGGUGCUGCAUGGCUGUCGUCAGCUCGUGCCGUGAGGUGUUGGGUUAAGUCCCGCAACGAGCGCAACCCUUAUCAUUAGUUGCCAACACGCGAGGUGGGGACUCUAAUGAGACUGCCUAGGUUAACUAGGAGGAAGGUGAGGAUGACGUCAAGUCCGCAUGGCCUUUAUAUCUGGGGCUACACACGUGCUACAAUGGUCGGUACAGAAGGCAGCGAAACCGCAAGGUGGAGCAAAUCCAAAAAGCCGAUCUCAGUUCAGAUUGUAGUCUGCAACUCGACUACAUGAAGUCGGAAUUGCUAGUAAUGACGUGUCAGCAACAGCGUCGUGAAUACGUUCCCGGGCCUUGUACACACCGAGACGAC
RNAcentral lists this ribosomal RNA (440 nucleotides) under uncultured bacterium. Its description in RNAcentral is "bacterial SSU rRNA". It matches the Rfam family "Bacterial small subunit ribosomal RNA", at positions 958 to 1398 of the family's 1533-position model. The record is from RNAcentral.